GAUGAACGCUGGCGGCGUGCCUAAUACAUGCAAGUCGAGCGAACGGACGAGAAGCUUGCUUCUCUGAUGUUAGCGGCGGACGGGUGAGUAACACGUGGAUAACCUACCUAUAUGACUGGGAUAAAUUCGGGCAACCGGAGCUACUACCGGAUAAUAUUUUGAACCGCAUGGUUCAAAAGUGAAAGACGGUCUUGCUGUCACUUAUAGCUGGAUCCGCGCUGCAUUAUCUAGUUGGUAAGGUAACGGCGUACCAAGGCAACGAUGCAUAGCCGACCUGAGAGGGUGAUCGGCCACACUGGAACUGAGACACGGUCCAGACUCCUACGGGAGGCAGCAGUAGGGAAUCUUCCGCAAUGGGCGAACGCCUGACGGAGCAACGCCGCGUGAGUGAUGAAGGUCUUCGGAUCGUAAAACUCUGUUAUUAGGGAAGAACAUAUGUGUAAGUAACUGUGCACAUCUUGACGGUACCUAAUCAGAAAGCCACGGCUAACUACGUG
This 497-nucleotide ribosomal RNA is filed under the name uncultured bacterium. Its description in RNAcentral is "partial 16S ribosomal RNA". It matches the Rfam family "Bacterial small subunit ribosomal RNA", at positions 28 to 507 of the family's 1533-position model. The record is from RNAcentral.